UGAAGAGAUUUGGGAGUGCUCGAAAGAGAGCCAUAACACAGGUGCUGCAUGGCUGUCGUCAGCUCGUGUCGUGAGAUGUUGGGUUAAGUCCCGCAACGAGCGCAACCCUUGCCAUUAGUUGCUACGAAAGGGCACUCUAAUGGGACUGCCGGUGACAAACCGGAGGAAGGUGGGGAUGACGUCAAGUCCUCAUGGCCCUUAUAGGUGGGGCUACACACGUCAUACAAUGGCUGGUACAGAGGGUUGCCAACCCGCGAGGGGGAGCCAAUCCCAUAAAGCCAGUCGUAGUCCGGAUCGCAGUCUGCAACUCGACUGCGUGAAGUCGGAAUCGCUAGUAAUCGCGGAUCAGAAUGUCGCGGUGAAUACGUUCCCGGGUCUUGUACACACCGCCCGUCACACCAUGGGAGCGGGUUCUGCCAGAAGUAGUUAGCCUAACCGCAA
RNAcentral lists this ribosomal RNA (441 nucleotides) under Acidovorax soli. Its description in RNAcentral is "bacterial SSU rRNA". It matches the Rfam family "Bacterial small subunit ribosomal RNA", at positions 999 to 1444 of the family's 1533-position model. Lineage: Bacteria; Pseudomonadati; Pseudomonadota; Betaproteobacteria; Burkholderiales; Comamonadaceae. The record is from RNAcentral.